RNAcentral lists this transfer-messenger RNA (346 nucleotides) under Candidatus Gallispira edinburgensis. It matches the Rfam family "transfer-messenger RNA". Rfam says of the family: Bacterial tmRNA, also known as 10Sa RNA or SsrA, is named for its dual tRNA and mRNA-like properties. Its role is to liberate the mRNA from a stalled ribosome. The record is from RNAcentral. Lineage: Bacteria; Bacillati; Bacillota; Clostridia.
GGGGAUGCAAUGGUUUCGACGGGGAUUUUGAAAUCCGGGAUAGCCAUUGGAGGCGGGAGACUCCUUAAAAGCCCAACUUUUAAAUAAUAAAAGACAAAGAUUUAGAAUUAGUAGCAGCCUAAUUGCUGCUCGCUGACCUUAGGUUUUCCGCAGCUUAAGACUCAGCGCCGACUUGCGGAGCACUUUUACUGCAAAGCUUUGAGCAGUAAAAAGAUCUAUGAAGCUACCAAGGACUGCAGCCUGUCUGCCGGCAGCAGUCUGAGGGAAUUACUAUAGACAGACUGUAAUGGGAGAAGUCCUGGACAACGGAUUUUCGGACAGGGGUUCGAUUCCCCUCAUCUCCAUC